GCGAGCAUCGUAUAGUGGCUAUUACCUCAGCCUUCCAAGCUGAUGACGCGGGUUCGACUCCCGCUGCUCGCUCCA
This 75-nucleotide transfer RNA is filed under the name Photobacterium kishitanii. RNAcentral describes it as "tRNA-Gly". It matches the Rfam family "tRNA". From Rfam's summary of the family: Transfer RNA (tRNA) molecules are approximately 80 nucleotides in length. Lineage: Bacteria; Pseudomonadati; Pseudomonadota; Gammaproteobacteria; Vibrionales; Vibrionaceae. The record is from RNAcentral.